CCUACGGGAGGCAGCAGUGGGGAAUAUUGCGCAAUGGGCGAAAGCCUGACGCCGCGACGCCGCGUGAGGGAUGAAGGUCUUCGGAUCGUAAACCUCUGUCAGCAGGGAAGAACGGUCACUGUGCUAAUCAGCAGUGAAUUGACGGUACCUGCAAAGGAAGCACCGGCUAACUCCGUGCCAGCAGCCGCGGUAAUACGGAGGGUGCGAGCGUUAAUCGGAAUUACUGGGCGUAAAGCGCUCGUAGGCGGUAUGUCAAGUCAAGGGUGAAAUCCCCGCGCUCAACGUGGGAACUGCCUUUGAAACGGGCAAACUGGAGUGUGUGAGAGGAUAGUGGAAUUCCAGGUGUAGGAGUGAAAGCCGUAGAUAUCUGGAGGAACAUCAGUGGCGAAGGCGACUAUCUGGCACAUAACUGACGCUGAGGAGCGAAAGCGUGGGUAGCAAACAGGAUUAGAUACCCGAGUAGUC
Molecule: ribosomal RNA, 465 nt
Filed under: uncultured bacterium
Lineage: Bacteria
Description: partial 16S ribosomal RNA
Rfam family: Bacterial small subunit ribosomal RNA
Source: RNAcentral